AGUGAACGCUGGCGGUAGGCCUAACACAUGCAAGUCGAACGGCAGCACAGUAAGAGCUUGCUCUUACGGGUGGCGAGUGGCGGACGGGUGAGGAAUACAUCGGAAUCUACUUUUUCGUGGGGAAUAACGUAGGGAAACUUACGCUAAUACCGCAUACGACCUACGGGUGAAAGCAGGGGAUCUUCGGACCUUGCGCGAUUGAAUGAGCCGAUGUCGGAUUAGCUAGUUGGCGGGGUAAAGGCCCACCAAGGCGACGAUCCGUAGCUGGUCUGAGAGGAUGAUCAGCUACACUGGAACUGAGACACGGUCCAGACUCCUACGGGAGGCAGCAGUGGGGAAUAUUGGACAAUGGGCGCAAGCCUGAUCCAGCCAUACCGCGUGGGUGAAGAAGGCCUUCGGGUUGUAAAGCCCUUUUGUUGGGAAAGAAAAGCAGCAGGUUAAUACCCCGCUGUUCUGACGGUACCCAAAGAAUAAGCACCGGCUAACUUCGUG
This 492-nucleotide ribosomal RNA is filed under the name uncultured bacterium. Its description in RNAcentral is "partial 16S ribosomal RNA". It matches the Rfam family "Bacterial small subunit ribosomal RNA", at positions 29 to 507 of the family's 1533-position model. The record is from RNAcentral.